GGGUAAUUUAUUAAACAGUUUUUAUGGUAUAAUUUGAAUUUUUUUUUUUUAUAUUUUCUUAUUUUCGUAAAAAAAAAAUUAAUAUGAAAUGUUUAAAUAUAAUUAUAUUUUGUUCUUUAUGGAAUAAAUUAUUCAAAAUUUUAUACGCUUAAAUAUAAUAUGUUAAGACUUAAUAAAUAUAUAUAUAUAUAUAUCAAUAUAUGUUUUGUAUAAAAAUUACAUGUUCAGCUUAAAAAAUUAAAGCGAUGUUUUUGUAAUAGUUAUAAUUCUUUUUUUUUUUUUUUUUUGAUGUCCUCUUUAAGUACACAACUGAUUUUAUUUAUAGUUUUAAAGACCAAGAAUAAUUUACACCUGAGUAAAAAGAAAUAACCCUGAAUAUAUUAAAAUGUCCUACUUUUAUAUAUAUUUAAAAUAUAUAUAAUAUAACGCUGAAUUAUUAAAAGAGAAAAUAAAGAAACUAAAUGAAAAUAAAUUAAAAUAAAAUAAAAUAAAAGAUGAAAAAUGUAAAUAAGAGAAAAGAAAAGGGGGAAUGUUUUAAAAUUACAUAUAAUCAACUAUUAAAAUAUAUAUAUAUAUAUAUAUAUAUAUAUAUGCAUAUAUAUAUGAAUGAGGCCCCUUUCAUUUCACUAAAUAUUUAUAUAUAUUUUUGUUUUCCAUAUUAAAUAUAUAAUAAAUAAAAUAAAUUCUUUUAUAAUCUUAAUUUUCUUACUAAACUUUUUAUACGUAAUAUAAAUUACAACUAAGGUCUAUAUUAUUAUGAAUUGUUAUUCAUAUAUAUAUAUAUAUAUAUAUAUAUAUAUAUAUAUAUAUAUAUAUAUAUGUAUGCAUGUAUGUAUGUAUAUAUGUAUGUAUGUAUAUAUGUAUGUAUGUAUCUAUGUAUGUAUGUAUCUAUGUAUGUAUGUAUCUAUGUAUGUAUGUAUCUAUGUAUGUAUGUAUAUAUGUAUGUAUUUAUUACUUUAAAAGGGUUAUAUUUUAUGAUUUUGACUUUAUUUUAAUAUAUAUAUAUAUAAUAUGUAUUUACAAAUAUAGAUAGAAAAUAUUAGACACAUAAACUUAUGUAUAUAUAUACAGGUUUAUAUAUAAUAAGAUUAAAAUAUUCUAGUAUAUGUAUAUUUAUAUAUAAGUCUAUAUGAGUAAACAUAUCAACCUAUAUAUAUUAAAAAAAAUAUAUACUAAUAUUUAUCUUUAUAUAUAUGAACAUAAAUAUAUGCAAAUAUUUAUAUACUUAAGUAUAUAUAUAUAUAUAUAUACAAAAAUAUAUAUAAUCACAUAUAUAUACAUAUAACCAUAAACAUUAAAAAAUAUUUAUGUACUUGGAUGUGUAUAUAUGAAAAUAUACAAAUAAAUAUAUAUAAACAAAAAUUAACAUAGACAUAAUAACAAAUAAAUAUAUAUAAAUAAAUAUUAAAAUAUACAUAAUAACAAAUAAAUAUUAAUAUAUAUAUAUAAAAACAAAUAAAUAUAUUUAUAUAAAUGCAUAUAUAUAUAUAUAUGUGUGUACGUACACGCUUAUCAAAUAAAUAUGUCAUAUAUACAUGAUAUUAUAAACAUUAAUAUAUAAAUUCAAAAAAAAUAUAUAUAUAUAUAUAUAUCAUAUAUUUAUCAUUUAUAUGUAUAAAUUUAUAUACGUAAAAUGUUUUUUAUAUAUUUUUUCUUUUUUUUAUGUUUUUUUUUUUUAUUAACAAAUAAUUAGAUAUAAAAGAAAUUUUAGUUACAUUCAAUUAAAAGAAGAAAAUAAUAAUAAUAUUAAUUGAUUUUAUUUAGUACUAUAUAUAGUUUAUCUGUUAGAAUAAAUAUAUUUAAAACAUAUAAUAAAUGAAAAAUUUAAAAAAAUAUAUAUAUAUUUGUUAUAAAAAAUUAUAAUAAACUAAACAAAACGUGCGUGCAUAUGUAAUAUACAUUAUUUUAUUAAAGAUGUAAUUUAAUAUCAAAAUUAAUAAUAUAGUUUAUUAUCCAGUUAAUGUUUUAAGAAUAUGGUAACUUAAAGAAUUUACUAUUUUAAGAAUUAUAUGAUUUAAGAAUAUUCGAGCGAUCGAAUUAUCGAAAUAAUGAACCAAAUCAAAAAAAAAAAAAAAAAAAAAAAAAAACUAAAUACAAAAUACAAAAUACAAAAUACAAAAUAUAUAUUAAAAGGGAUUUACAUAAGAAAAAGAAAUGAUAUGUGUGUCAUAAUGGUGUAGUUAUCAAAAUAAUUUUUUUUUUUUGGUUAUAUUAAUGUUAUUAUUUAUAAAUAAUUAUUUUUUUUUUUUUUUUAUACAUGCCCAUUUCGUGUCUUUUUUUUAGAAAUAUAUCUUUUGUAAUAUUUGUUAUUUAUAUAUAAUUUACUUAAUGUGUUUAUUAUACAAUAGUUUUGUUAGUUGCAACUAAUUCUAGAAGACAUAACAUGAACAUAUUAUAAAUUUUAUAUAAUCAACAUGGAUUAUUUAUUACUUGAAUGUGUCCUUAAAUUAUGGAUGAUCCUAAUAUUAUAUAACUUAAAUUAAUCACUUAAGACGUUUAAAUUUUAUAUACAUUAUUCAAAAUAAUAUGACGUAUCCAUAUUUUCUUUAGGAAUAUAUAUAUAUAUAUAAGAACCCUUCUUAUAUUAUAUAAUAAUGUAAUUUCUUGUUAAAACAGAAAAGGAAAUAAAUGUACAUAUAUUUAAGUAAGAAAAAAAAAGUAUAUAUAUAUAUAUUAUAUAUAUAUAUAUAUAUAAUUUAAGAAUCUGUAAUUUAUUAUGUUAGUUUAUUCUGUAAUUUUUUAUAUGUAACACAUAUAUGUCUUUGACUUAGCUAUAUAUAUAUAUUAGAAAUUAUUUUGUUUAGUAUAAUACUAAUUAAUAAAUAUAAAAUAUUAUAAUAAAAUGUUAGGCUAUAGUUGUAUUAUCUUUAUAUCAAUGUCAUAUUUCCCUAUGAUUAUCCCAAUAAAAUUCAAAUAACUUAUAUGUUGUAAAAUAUAGUAUCUUAGAACAUAUAACAUUUAAGAAUAAAAAAACAAAAUUAACAAAUUUAAAUACUUAUUUAUUUAUAGUUUUUUAUGUUAUUAUAUGUUGUAAAACAUCAGUAUUCUUAACGAAUUAAUAGACACAUCUAAGUUCAUUUAAGAAGAGAUAUAUUUUUAGUUACUUUAUAAUUAUUCAUUAUAUUUUUUUCUUUUUUUUUUUUUUUUUUUUACUUAAUACAUAUAAUUGCAUUUUAUUUAAAAAUAUAACAACAUUUAAGAAUUUUGAUUUAUAUAAGAAAUAUUUUGCCUUACACAGUUUCUCUUUAUCUUAAUUUUUAUUUUCUUUCAUUCCUUAUUUAUUAUUUAUUCUUUAUAUAUAUUAUAUAUUAUUCCAUUCCCUAUUUAAUAUUACAUUUAUUUAAAAAUAUAAGUGGAA
Molecule: small RNA, 3358 nt
Filed under: Plasmodium falciparum NF54
Lineage: Eukaryota; Apicomplexa; Aconoidasida; Haemosporida; Plasmodiidae
Description: Plasmodium RNA of unknown function RUF
Source: RNAcentral